Molecule: unclassified non-coding RNA, 373 nt
Filed under: soil metagenome
Description: partial contains 5.8S ribosomal RNA, internal transcribed spacer 2, and large subunit ribosomal RNA
Rfam family: 5.8S ribosomal RNA (bases 1-120)
Source: RNAcentral
GAUGAAGAACGUAGCGAAAUGCGAUAACUAAUGUGAAUUGCAGAAUUCCGUGAAUCAUCGAGUCUUUGAACGCACAUUGCGCCCCCUGGUAUUCCGGGGGGCAUGCCUGUCCGAGCGUCAUUGCAACCCUCAAGCACGGCUUGUCUAAUGGGCGGUUCGUCUGCGGCCAUCCGCCGGAGACGCCCCCGAAAUGCAGUGGGGAUGUUCGCUAAAUCGCAGCGUCAGGAAUGGAAAUAAACAAUGCUGACGGCUCGAUGUCGAACGUCCACCUAAGGCGUGCCGCCCCCCCGGGGUGUGUCGCCCAACCUCUCUCGGUUGACCUCGGAUCAGGUAGGGAUACCCGCUGAACUUAAGCAUAUCAAUAAGCGGAGGA